Molecule: small nuclear RNA, 117 nt
Organism: Gracilinanus agilis (Agile Gracile Mouse Opossum)
Lineage: Eukaryota; Metazoa; Chordata; Mammalia; Didelphimorphia; Didelphidae
Product: U5 spliceosomal RNA
Exons: 1
Source: RefSeq, a predicted model, not a curated record
AUUGUUCUUUCUCUCUUCAGAUCAUAUAAAUCUUUCGCCUUUUACUAAAGAUUUCCAUGGAGAGGAACAUUUUGACUAUAACAUUACAAAAUCUGAAAUGCUUACAGAGAAAAGAAA